GGGUUGUGAGGUUAAGCGACUAAGCGUACACGGUGGAUGCCCUGGCAGUCAGAGGCGAUGAAGGGCGUGCUAAUCUGCGAUAAGCGCCGGUAAGGUGAUAUGAACCGUUAUAACCGGCGAUACCCGAAUGGGGAAACCCAGUGUGACUCGUCACACUAUCAUUAACUGAAUCCAUAGGUUAAUGAGGCGAACCGGGGGAACUGAAACAUCUAAGUACCCCGAGGAAAAGAAAUCAACCGAGAUUCCCCCAGUAGCGGCGAGCGAACGGGGAGGAGCCCAGAGCCUGAAUCAGCAUGUGUGUUAGUGGAAGCGUCUGGAAAGGCGCGCGAUACAGGGUGACAGCCCCGUACACAAAAGCGUAUGUGCUGUGAGCUCGAUGAGUAGGGCGGGACACGUGGUAUCCUGUCUGAAUAUGGGGGGACCAUCCUCCAAGGCUAAAUACUCCUGACUGACCGAUAGUGAACCAGUACCGUGAGGGAAAGGCGAAAAGAACCCCGGCGAGGGGAGUGAAAAAGAACCUGAAACCGUGUACGUACAAGCAGUGGGAGCACCCUUUGGGGUGUGACUGCGUACCUUUUGUAUAAUGGGUCAGCGACUUAUAUUCUGUAGCAAGGUUAACCGAAUAGGGGAGCCGGAGGGAAACCGAGUCUUAAUUGGGCGUUAAGUUGCAGGGUAUAGACCCGAAACCCGGUGAUCUAGCCAUGGGCAGGUUGAAGGUUGGGUAACACUAACUGGAGGACCGAACCGACUAAUGUUGAAAAAUUAGCGGAUGACCUGUGGCUGGGGGUGAAAGGCCAAUCAAACCGGGAGAUAGCUGGUUCUCCCCGAAAGCUAUUUAGGUAGCGCCUCGUGAAUUCAUCUCCGGGGGUAGAGCACUGUUUCGGCUAGGGGGUCAUCCCGACUUACCAACCCGAUGCAAACUGCGAAUACCGGAGAAUGUUAUCACGGGAGACACACGGCGGGUGCUAACGUCCGUCGUGAAGAGGGAAACAACCCAGACCGCCAGCUAAGGUCCCAAAGUCAUGGUUAAGUGGGAAACGAUGUGGGAAGGCCCAGACAGCCAGGAUGUUGGCUUAGAAGCAGCCAUCAUUUAAAGAAAGCGUAAUAGCUCACUGGUCGAGUCGGCCUGCGCGGAAGAUGUAACGGGGCUAAACCAUGCACCGAAGCUGCGGCAGCGAC
RNAcentral lists this ribosomal RNA (1179 nucleotides) under Salmonella enterica. RNAcentral describes it as "partial 23S ribosomal RNA". It matches the Rfam family "Bacterial large subunit ribosomal RNA", at positions 1 to 1212 of the family's 2925-position model. The record is from RNAcentral. Lineage: Bacteria; Pseudomonadati; Pseudomonadota; Gammaproteobacteria; Enterobacterales; Enterobacteriaceae.